Molecule: ribosomal RNA, 119 nt
Filed under: Triticum aestivum (bread wheat)
Lineage: Eukaryota; Viridiplantae; Streptophyta; Magnoliopsida; Poales; Poaceae
Source: RNAcentral
GGAUGUGAUCAUACCAGCACUAAAGCACCGGAUCCCAUCAGAACUCCGAAGUUAAGCGUGCUUGGGCGAGAGUAGUACUAUGAUGGGUGACCUCCUGGGAAGUCCUCGUGUUGCAUUCC